Non-coding RNA from Angiostrongylus cantonensis (rat lungworm), 72 nucleotides. The record is from Rfam. NCBI's taxonomy places the organism in Eukaryota, Metazoa, Nematoda, Chromadorea, Rhabditida, Metastrongylidae.
GCCUCAUUGGAUCAGAAGAAGAGCGUCUGUCUUGCAAGCAGAAGGUCGCUGGUUCGAUUCCAGCAUGAGGCA